Molecule: ribosomal RNA, 497 nt
Filed under: uncultured bacterium
Lineage: Bacteria
Description: partial 16S ribosomal RNA
Rfam family: Bacterial small subunit ribosomal RNA
Source: RNAcentral
GAUGAACGCUGGCGGCGUGCCUAAUACAUGCAAGUCGAGCGAACAGACGAGGAGCUUGCUCCUCUGACGUUAGCGGCGGACGGGUGAGUAACACGUGGAUAACCUACCUAUAAGACUGGGAUAACUUCGGGAAACCGGAGCUAAUACCGGAUAAUAUAUUGAACCGCAUGGUUCAAUAGUGAAAGACGGUUUUGCUGUCACUUAUAGAUGGAUCCGCGCCGCAUUAGCUAGUUGGUAAGGUAACGGCUUACCAAGGCGACGAUGCGUAGCCGACCUGAGAGGGUGGUCGGCCACACUGGAACUGAGACACGGUCCAGACUCCUACGGGAGGCAGCAGUAGGGAAUCUUCCGCAAUGGGCGAAAGCCUGACGGAGCAACGCCGCGUGAGUGAUGAAGGUCUUCGGAUCGUAAAACUCUGUUAUUAGGGAAGAACAAAUGUGUAAGUAACUAUGCACGUCUUGACGGUACCUAAUCAGAAGGCCACGGCUAACUACGUG